GGGGUUGUCACAGGGCCGUGGACGCGUGUGUCCACUGGACCGGGACCCCAGGCGUGUGCCAUGUGACGCCGAGACAUGCCGGGGGGCGCAGAGCUGGGGGCUGGGGACGGAGUUCUGGGUCCUUCCAUGUGAGCUUCGGGUGAGGAAGCACAGCCCCCGAUCCUCCGUCUGAACGCUCGUGUGGUUCGCUUCCCCUGCUUCUUAGCUUGUGUUCUUCUGGCGGGAAACAGGGAUAUUCUGCCUCCUCCCCACCAACAAAGACGUAGGCAUGCUCCCCCUUCCUUGUUUUCACGAAACAAGCAGCUCAUUGGCUCCACAGGUAAAUGCAUCUGUAGGAGAAAGAGAAAGAGACACAGACCUAAGAGAAAUCCGAGCCAGAUGCAAUGUGUGGAUGGUGUUGGGAUCCUGGUUUGAACCAAACCCACUGGAGUAUUUCUGAGAUAACCAGACGAACUUGAAUGCGGACUGGGUAUUAUUGGCUGAUAGUAAGGAAUUGCAUGCUCUCAUGUUCA
Molecule: long non-coding RNA, 512 nt
Organism: Zalophus californianus (California sea lion)
Lineage: Eukaryota; Metazoa; Chordata; Mammalia; Carnivora; Otariidae
Exons: 3
Source: RefSeq, a predicted model, not a curated record